UACGGAGGGUGCGAGCGUUGUCCGGAAUCACUGGGCGUAAAGGGCGCGUAGGUGGCGCGACAAGUCAACGGUGAAAGCCCGGGGCUCAACCCCGGGUCGGCCGUCGAUACUGUUGGGCUUGAGCACUGUAGAGGCAGAUGGAAUUCCGGGUGUAGCGGUGGAAUGCGUAGAGAUCCGGAAGAACACCGGUGGCGAAGGCGGUCUGCUGGGCAGUAGCUGACACUGAUGCGCGACAGCGUGGGGAGCAAACAGG
This 253-nucleotide ribosomal RNA is filed under the name uncultured bacterium. RNAcentral's name for it is "partial 16S ribosomal RNA". It matches the Rfam family "Bacterial small subunit ribosomal RNA", at positions 524 to 776 of the family's 1533-position model. The record is from RNAcentral.